This 825-nucleotide ribosomal RNA is filed under the name uncultured bacterium. RNAcentral's name for it is "bacterial SSU rRNA". It matches the Rfam family "Bacterial small subunit ribosomal RNA", at positions 1 to 796 of the family's 1533-position model. The record is from RNAcentral.
UAGAGUUUGAUCAUGGCUCAGGACGAACGCUGGCGGCGUGCCUAAUACAUGCAAGUCGAGCGCGGGAAGCAAACAGAUCUCCUUCGGGAGUGACGUUUGUGGAACGAGCGGCGGAUGGGUGAGUAUCACGUGGGCAACCUGCCUGUAAGAUCGGGAUAACUCGCGGAAACGUGAGCUAAUACCGGAUGAAGUCUUACGCCACCUGGCGUAAGGAUGAAAGAUGGCCUUUGUGCUAUCACUUACAGAUGGGCCCGCGGCGCAUUAGCUAGUUGGUAGGGUAAUGGCCUACCAAGGCGACGAUGCGUAGCCGACCUGAGAGGGUGAUCGGCCACACUGGGACUGAGACACGGCCCAGACUCCUACGGGAGGCAGCAGUAGGGAAUCUUCCGCAAUGGACGAAAGUCUGACGGAGCAACGCCGCGUGAGUGAUGAAGGUCUUCGGAUCGUAAAACUCUGUUGUCAGGGAAGAACAAGUGACGUUCGAAUAGGGCGUGACCUUGACGGUACCUGACCAGAAAGCCCCGGCUAACUACGUGCCAGCAGCCGCGGUAAUACGUAGGGGGCAAGCGUUGUCCGGAAUUAUUGGGCGUAAAGCGCGCGCAGGCGGUCCUUUAAGUCUGAUGUGAAAGCCCACGGCUUAACCGUGGAGGGUCAUUGGAAACUGAGGGACUUGAGUACAGAAGAGGAGAGUGGAAUUCCACGUGUAGCGGUGAAAUGCGUAGAGAUGUGGAGGAACACCAGUGGCGAAGGCGACUCUCUGGUCUGUAACUGACGCUGAGGUGCGAAAGCGUGGGUAGCAAACAGGAUUAGAUACCCUGGUAGUCC